Molecule: non-coding RNA, 107 nt
Organism: Gossypium raimondii (Peruvian cotton)
Lineage: Eukaryota; Viridiplantae; Streptophyta; Magnoliopsida; Malvales; Malvaceae
Source: Rfam
AAACCAUGCAUCAGGCAUUUUCUAAUUAAGUCCUUGAAAUGCUCCCAUGCUUCUUAUAAUGUCUCAUCUUCAAAUUGUCCGAACAAUGUAAUGUCAUUCCUUAGCUU